This 31-nucleotide non-coding RNA is filed under the name Rattus norvegicus (Norway rat). The record is from RNAcentral. Lineage: Eukaryota; Metazoa; Chordata; Mammalia; Rodentia; Muridae.
ACACCAGACUACCAUGAAGAAGAAUGACUCA